RNAcentral lists this ribosomal RNA (253 nucleotides) under uncultured bacterium. RNAcentral's name for it is "partial 16S ribosomal RNA". It matches the Rfam family "Bacterial small subunit ribosomal RNA", at positions 524 to 776 of the family's 1533-position model. The record is from RNAcentral.
UACGUAGGGGGCAAGCGUUGUUCGGAUUUACUGGGCGUAAAGGGCGCGUAGGCGGCGUGACAAGUCAGUUGUGAAAUCUCCGAGCUUAACUCGGAAAGGUCAACUGAUACUGUGCGGCUAGAGUGCGGAAGGGGCAACUGGAAUUCUUGGUGUAGCGGUGAAAUGCGUAGAUAUCAAGAGGAACACCUGCGGCGAAGGCGGGUUGCUGGGCCGACACUGACGCUGAUGCGCGAAAGCUAGGGGAGCGAACGGG